UACGUAGGGUGCAAGCGUUAAUCGGAAUCACUGGGCGUAAAGGGCGUGUAGGCGGCUUCGUAAGUCUUGUGUGAAAGCCCUCGGCUCAACCGAGGAAUUGCACGAGAAACUGCGUGGCUCGAGUCCGGGAGAGGAUAGUGGAAUUCCCAGUGUAGCGGUGAAAUGCGUAGAUAUUGGGAGGAACACCGGUGGCGAAGGCGGCUAUCUGGACCGGUACUGACGCUGAUACGCGAAAGCCAGGGGAGCAAACGGG
Molecule: ribosomal RNA, 253 nt
Filed under: uncultured bacterium
Lineage: Bacteria
Description: partial 16S ribosomal RNA
Rfam family: Bacterial small subunit ribosomal RNA
Source: RNAcentral